Molecule: microRNA precursor, 61 nt
Filed under: Panagrellus redivivus
Lineage: Eukaryota; Metazoa; Nematoda; Chromadorea; Rhabditida; Panagrolaimidae
Description: microRNA prd-mir-7866 precursor
Source: miRBase by way of RNAcentral
UCUGGGAUGAGACAUUGUUAUAGUAGAAUUUUAAUUACGAUAGCAUGUCGCAUUCCAACGC